Molecule: long non-coding RNA, 361 nt
Organism: Propithecus coquereli (Coquerel's sifaka)
Lineage: Eukaryota; Metazoa; Chordata; Mammalia; Primates; Indriidae
Exons: 4
Source: RefSeq, a predicted model, not a curated record
CGUGCGUUAUGCCGGCGGGACGGCGGCUGAGCUUGCGCGCCCGUAGCUGGGCUCUUGGAGGUGGGAAAAAGCCUAUGAGUUUUGAAGAUGUAUGAAGGUCAUUGUGACAAAUGUUUUCCAAAAACCUAUAGAAGAUGGCAGUGAAAAAGCUGGGACCACCACUGCGUGCAUUAAGCAUAUAGGUAGCUGCAGAGGAGUGUGCUUCAGCUGCGGUUUUUAAAAAUAUUUCUUCAUUGCCUCAAGUGUGGCAUGAACUAUUUUGGAGGAAGGAAUGAAGACUGUUCAAGAAAACAGAUGAACAGAAAUAAGUGAUGAAAGUGAAUGUUUUGCUUGAUAUUAUUAACAUCACAAUAAAUUAUGU